UGAACCCUGUAGGCACCUUGUGGUAGCAGAGAGACUGAUGGGGAAUAGGAAGGCUGCUGCAGGAUGAAGAGGAAGCCCAGGAGGAAGAUACUUGGAAGACCCAGAAAUGGAGCAAACUCCAAUGGCUGACCCUGACUCAAGGAACCAGCCCCCUAGGAAGGAGCUUGGGAGGUGUUGCUUCUUACAGAGAGCCCAGGAAGGGGCUGGGGAAAGGCCUGAAGAGAGGCUAAUGGAAAAAGAUUUAAAGGGACCAUCCAUGUGUAACCCCUUUGGGGUUUAGAGAGCAAGAGGUGAAACUAAAACAUCACCUGGCUGGAGGGCUGAGUCACAAGAAGACAGACCAUCACAGGACUAGUGGCUGUUGGCAGGAUGGGCUAGAAAGGAAUGAGCUGCUACACUAUGCCCAGCCACAAGGUGGCACACCAGCAAAGAGACCACACCUCCGCAAGAUGCAGCAUUGCAAG
Long non-coding RNA from Chelonia mydas (Green sea turtle), 464 nucleotides. RefSeq lists it as uncharacterized. The transcript is spliced from 2 exons. Lineage: Eukaryota; Metazoa; Chordata; Testudines; Cheloniidae. The record is from RefSeq and is a predicted model, not a curated record.